CGAAGAUGUGGGGGAGUGGUUGGUGGAAAACACCUGCCUCUGUCUCUGCGUGCGCCGCGCCGCUCCUGCAGGAUUUUCGUCUUUAUCACAGGGAAGAAAAUAAUGAGAGACAGCUUUACCAUUCCAGGAGCGGUGCGAUCCGGAAUCUGGUCGGAGAGAGCGUAUAAUGGUUUGGAACCUGCAAGACCAGAGUUUCUGACUUUUGUUUUGCUGUAUCACAGAAAGUUGCUGCGUUCGCUGUAUUUUUCUCAUCUUGGACCUAUUUUCUUUCUGUCCUUCCUCCUACCCAUUAUUCAUUCAUUCAACAAGUGCAAAGGGCAGGGCAUCUCAGCAACACCCAGUCUCCAGAGGCCGCAGCCUGCGCUCAGUGCCAGUGGAGGGUGUGCGGAACGGAAAUUGUGAGAUCCUGGCACAGGAAUGGAUGAAAAAUUCAAAGGCACAACAUAGAAAACCCAGAGAUAGACCCAAGUAUGCACAGCAAUUAAAUAAAGGUCUCAUCUCAGUAAAUAAGAGUGGAGAAAGAAAGGAUUUCUUAGUAAAUG
Long non-coding RNA from Phyllostomus hastatus (greater spear-nosed bat), 542 nucleotides. RefSeq lists it as uncharacterized. The record is from RefSeq and is a predicted model, not a curated record. The transcript is spliced from 4 exons. Lineage: Eukaryota; Metazoa; Chordata; Mammalia; Chiroptera; Phyllostomidae.